Microtus ochrogaster (prairie vole) is the source of this 686-nucleotide long non-coding RNA. RefSeq lists it as uncharacterized. NCBI's taxonomy places the organism in Eukaryota, Metazoa, Chordata, Mammalia, Rodentia, Cricetidae. The record is from RefSeq and is a predicted model, not a curated record.
GAAGACGGGAAGAAAAUCAGGCAAAUUAAGCCCCCAAAGCACACUGUAAUUUUCUAUCUCUGAACGGAUUUGUGAGAGCAUGGCUGAGUGAAGUUAGCAGAGCAUCGCCCCCCACACAAAGAUGGCGCGAGCAGAAUUUGUGAAAGCGGAUAGGAAGAGGAAGGACCAGCAAGACAGGACGGGCUGCAGUGCUGGGGAGCAGCUGGAGUCCAGAAAUGAUUUUUUUCGACGAAUUUAGGAUUUUGCCGCAGUGCACAUCUGCAGUCCCAGAAUCCUCCGGUAGCCACUAAAACACUUCUUGAGAACGGUAAACCGAGGAAGGCCCGGAGAACACGCAACUUCAAGCGUGAAGGAUGGAGCCAGCGUAACUAAAGGACCAGGCCACGGCCGCCUCCAUGGCCACCGCCUCCUGCCACCUUUCGGAUCCCGCUUUGCUCUGUGGUUGUGCGAGCGCUGCAAGCUUUCCACGGCGGCUCUCUGCGGAAUCUGCCCAGUGGGUCACUAGACGGCUUCUGUGUGGGAGAGUAAGUGACACACAGUCUCACAAGAGGCAUUUACAACUGCUUAGCCUGUUCAGCUGGAAAUUAACAAAAGGAUGGCACACCCCCGGCACGAUGUUUUACAAAUCAAAAGUCUGGGUCCAUAAAUAGCCCGCUUGACAAAUGUAGAACCAGAAGCCGAUUGUG